Molecule: ribosomal RNA, 371 nt
Filed under: uncultured organism
Description: bacterial SSU rRNA
Rfam family: Bacterial small subunit ribosomal RNA
Source: RNAcentral
CAGAGGUCCCGAGCGUUGUUCGGAUUCACUGGGCGUAAAGGGUGCGUAGGUGGCGAGGUAAGUCGGAUGUGAAAGCUCGGAGCUCAACUCCGAAAUGGCAUUGGAAACUACCUUGCUCGAGGGUUGAGGGGGGACUGGAAUACUUGGUGUAGCAGUGAAAUGCGUAGAUAUCAAGUGGAACACCAGUGGCGAAGGCGAGUCCCUGGACAACACCUGACACUGAGGCACGAAAGCUAGGGGAGCAAACAGGAUUAGAUACCCUGGUAGUCCUAGCCGUAAACGGUGCUUGCUUGCUGUAAAAGGAAUCGACCCCUUUUGUGGCGUAGCCAACGCGUUAAGCAAGCCGCCUGGGAAGUACGGUCGCAAGAUUA